This 317-nucleotide long non-coding RNA is filed under the name Homo sapiens (human). RNAcentral's name for it is "HSALNT0193286". Lineage: Eukaryota; Metazoa; Chordata; Mammalia; Primates; Hominidae. The record is from RNAcentral.
GUUGUGAGCUGCCUUUGAAGGGAGCUGUGUGGCAAAAAGCCAAGAGUGGCCUCUAGGAGCUGACAGCCAGCAAGGGAACAGGGACCUUGGUGACACAGCCAGAAGGAAACUUGGAAGUGGAUCCCUUCCCCAUUGAGCCUCCAGAUGAGAAUACAGCCAGUUGACACCUUGACUGCAGGCUUGUGAGAUCCUGAGAUGAAGACCCAGAUAACAUGUGGCAUAUACUUUUGACUGCAGAAAUCGUGAGGAUGCUGCUGUUCCACUUCGGUCUUUUGCAGCUCCUGGACAGCCUUUAUGCAGUCACUUGUGUGCUCUGG